UCGUACUAAGUGGCACAAAAGAGUUAAUCCCAUUCGUGUUGGAGAUGUUGUUAUUAUCUGCGAUACCAAUAAAAAUUUGCGGGAUUGGAGACGUGGAAUCGUACUGGAAACGUUCCCUGGACCAGAUGGACAAGUUAGGUCAGCGCUUAUUAAGACAUCGACGGGCAACCUAAGAAGACCCGCUUCAAAGUUAGCAGUUCUUGAUGUUUCUGGUGACCCUCAACUCGCAGAUACUCCUUCGGUUCACGGGGGGCGGGAUGUUGCUGACAAAUGUACUUAGCUUUAUGUUUCAAAGAUGUUGUUGACAAAUGUACUCAGCCUUAUGUUCUAAAUAUUUAUUUUAAUCGUAAGGCAACUCUGUUUAAGUAUACUCAAAGAUGUAAUGGCUUCUUCCGUUUUACUUUUUUACGAGUAGCCGAGGAGAAACCACGGAUAAAUAUUAAAACUCUCGCGCUCUCUCGCAAUCUCACUCACGCACGCACGCGUUUGUGUUUCUCUGAAUAAAGUGUUUUAAUAUA
Molecule: long non-coding RNA, 518 nt
Organism: Bactrocera tryoni
Lineage: Eukaryota; Metazoa; Arthropoda; Insecta; Diptera; Tephritidae
Exons: 2
Source: RefSeq, a predicted model, not a curated record